Molecule: ribosomal RNA, 484 nt
Filed under: uncultured bacterium
Lineage: Bacteria
Description: partial 16S ribosomal RNA
Rfam family: Bacterial small subunit ribosomal RNA
Source: RNAcentral
AUUGAACGCUGGCGGCAGGCCUAACACAUGCCAGUCGAGCGGAUGAAGGGAGCUUGCUCCUGGAUUCAGCGGCGGACGGGUGAGUAAUGCCUAGGAAUCUGCCUGGUAGUGGGGGAUAACGUCCGGAAACGGGCGCUAAUACCGCAUACGUCCUGAGGGAGAAAGUGGGGGAUCUUCGGACCUCACGCUAUCAGAUGAGCCUAGGUCGGAUUAGCUAGUUGGUGGGGUAAAAGCCUACCAAGGCGACGAUCCGUAACUGGUCUGAGAGGAUGAUCAGUCACACUGGAACUGAGACACGGUCCAGACUCCUACGGGAGGCAGCAGUGGGGAAUAUUGGACAAUGGGCGAAAGCCUGAUCCAGCCAUGCCGCGUGUGUGAAGAAGGUCUUCGGAUUGUAAAGCACUUUAAGUUGGGAGGAAGGGCAGUAAGUUAAUACCUUGCUGUUUUGACGUUACCAACAGAAUAAGCACCGGCUAACUUCGUG